This 307-nucleotide unclassified non-coding RNA is filed under the name Hevea brasiliensis (rubber tree). Lineage: Eukaryota; Viridiplantae; Streptophyta; Magnoliopsida; Malpighiales; Euphorbiaceae. The record is from RNAcentral.
CUACCGAAAAAGUCUUGGAAUUGGGUCAAGAUUUUGGCUACCCCACCUUUGUCAGACGUCCCACGCAUUCCCGGGGUCGGAAUCAGCAUAGGUGAGCUGGGGCAGCCUUCCACCUCCGCCCAACCGCUGCAGUGAUUUCGGCUAAGUUUUAAUUUGGAGCAGUGUGUAUGCGUGGCGUGCGUGUGGUAUGGUAUUGGAUAUGGACAGGACCGGUAGACACGACUUGAGAGAUACUCGCUGAAACCUAAUCCUUCGGGGUAGACACGACUUAAGAGACACUCGUUGGCAGAGGUUGGAUUAAGAGGGC